This 2103-nucleotide unclassified non-coding RNA is filed under the name Hevea brasiliensis (rubber tree). The record is from RNAcentral. Lineage: Eukaryota; Viridiplantae; Streptophyta; Magnoliopsida; Malpighiales; Euphorbiaceae.
AUGUGUGCUAGUGGCCGACAGGAUAGGUCUAGUGGUAUUAUUCAGGAUCGUGGGAGUGGUUUACGGCAGGAUUCUUGUGGCAGCACUAAACAAGGUGAUUAUAGGAAAGUUGAUCCAAAGGAAGUUGAGAGUCAGAGACUUUAUGGCCACAAUCUUCCUGCUGCUGAUGUGACCUAUGAUCGUACGAGUCGAUACACAGGAAAUGUUAAUGGCACGGAUGAUACAUCCUCAGAAAGUAGCUCAUCUUUGCAAGAUAAGUUAUUUUCUCAAAGUGAAGAUCUUCAUGAUAUGAAAGAUUCUGGCUACGUAGCGCAUAAUGGGGCUAGCAAGUCAUUAAUUCCUAGGGGUGCCAAUAAGAUGCGGUAUAAACCAUCAGGUUACUUGAAAGUGAAGGGUGAAAUUGAAAAUGCUGCCAUUACUGCUGUCAAAAGGCAAUUAGGCAAGCACUAUAGGGAGGAUGGUCCACCACUUGGUGUUGAAUUCCAACCGCUUCCUCCUGGAGCUUUUUCAUCCUCAAGUAGGGAUCCAGUCAAUGCAGGAGCAUUCUAUGUUGGAGAUCUUGCUAGGAUUCAUUCUCCUGAUGUUUCUGGAGUUCGUAAGCAAUCCAGUCUCAGCAGUAGAUAUGAAGUAUAUAGUUCCAAGAUGAUUUCCCAGGAUUCAUAUAUGGAAGGGCCAAGCUGUAACCUCAAGAAUGCAUCUGAUUCUCAUGACAAGAAAUCUCACCACCAAAUAAAACGAAAAUCGACUUCUUACGACUAUUCCAAUUGUACCCCUGGUGGGAAGUCUGCCAUGGAUAAGUAUGAUGAUCUUGCAGCUGAAACUUCUAUUCAUAGCAGCAAAAGAAAUUAUAAGUUGAGCUCUAUGCAUGGUGUUGAAGGCAUAGGACCACAUACUGUUUCUAAUCAUCAUCAUCCUGAUGGUGGUAAAGCUAUUAGCGAACAGACAGACCCUUGGUUGCAUGACUAUGGCAAUGGCAGCCCUAAUAUUGUCCAAAAGAAUGAUUAUACAUCUAAGUCUUUAAAUUUGAUAACUGGGUUCAGUAAAUCUCUUGAUGCACAGGAGAGAGUUCUAUCUACGAUUACGGAAAAGGUCUUUUAUAUAUAUUUUUCUGCUUUGUAUUGUAAUUACUAUACACCUUUCUGCUUUUGUAUUAUAUUGUUUCAAAAUUGACAAUUCUUGUAUUAAAAAGUAGUGGCUUAAUAAUAACUUGUGUAUGCGUAGGAGAAGCCUUAUAGAGAAAUAAAGGGAACAAAAGAAUAUCGAGACACAGUUAGGGUGAGGAUGCAUCCAACAAAUGAAAUGACUGUGAGUUCAUGAUGUGGUCAACUUAUGUCAAUAUUUUGCAUAUAUAUAAAAUACAUAAUAUAUCCAUACAUGCCUAUGUACAUAUAUAUUGCGCGCUCAUACAUUUCAAUUUUGACCCCUCCAUUUUAUGUCUUAAUAUUGAAGAUUUCGAAGAGAUUCAGAGCUGAGUUUUCGCAGCAACAAUAUGUGACAAAAGCAGCAUUUCCUAAUAUGCCCCGAAAGACAAAUUCAAAUAAAGGGUAGGUACAAAUUUCUGCACUGGCUUGUAAUUUAUGCGAAUGCAGUCUUUUUAUGCUAUCUCUGUGCAUCUGCUCAUAUCACACUUGUUUCUGUUAAUUCUCGAUAAAGUUUGACUGAUUGUUGAGUAAAGCCUAUAGUGAUAUUCUCCCUUCAAGGAAAAUCAAGGAAGUGUAUCAAUUCUUGUGAUGUAUUUAGCCAGCAAUUUAGUUUCCAAAUUAAGGAGGUUGAAAGCUGUGAUUGCGUUGGCAGUCAUGUGGUUCAGUUCUCUCUCUCUUCCUUUUUUUUUUAUCUCUUCAAGUUGCAGUGGUCACAUUGUUAAGCCCAGGUAUUGUAUUGACAGCUGUAUGCUUUUGUCAUGAUGGUUAGCACAAAUAGGAUUACUACGAGUAUUGAGGAAGAAUAUGUCAUUGGGUUACAUAAUCCCAGAAACCAUCCUUUAAGUGCUUCUCGUUUGGAGAGGUAGGUGAAGAGAGAAGUGAGAUUGAGAUGCAAAUGUGUUCUAAACCACAUAUUACUAGCGCAAACUGUUUUGGGAAAUGUGUAAGCUUGAGUAUCUAG